This 252-nucleotide ribosomal RNA is filed under the name uncultured bacterium. Its description in RNAcentral is "partial 16S ribosomal RNA". It matches the Rfam family "Bacterial small subunit ribosomal RNA", at positions 524 to 776 of the family's 1533-position model. The record is from RNAcentral.
UACAGAGGUCCCGAGCGUUGUUCGGAUUCAUUGGGCGUAAAGGGUGCGUAGGCGCGGGGCAAGUCUGUUGUGAAAUCCCGGGGCUCAACCCCGGAACUGCAUUGGAUACUGCCUUGCUCGAGUACUGGAGAGGGAACUGGAAUUUACGGUGUAGCAGUGAAAUGCGUAGAGAUCGUAAGGAAGGCCAGUGGCGAAGGCGAGUUCCUGGACAGUUACUGACGCUGAGGCACGAAGGCCAGGGGAGCAAACGGG